CAGCCUCUCAGAGUGCUAGGAUUGCAGGCAUGUGACCAUGUCCAGCUAGGAAUCUGCUUUCUAAACAGUUACCCUAAGAGUGUAUCUUUAGGCAUCAGCGUAUCUUUAAAUAGAAUAGUAUCAUUGCCGUAAGCCGAGAACAUUUUGAUAGAGAUUCCCAAGCUCCAGCCCAACCUAUUGAACUAGAAUCUUUGAGGAACUCUAAAUUCUGUACUUUUUAAAAAGAACUCCAAGCAAUGCUGGUGCCCAGCUGGAUUUAAGCAUCCUUAAAAUAAUGCUGACCUCUCUUUUUCUCAGGUCGGCUACAUGCUGUGAGAUACCCUCUCAUGACGCUGCGCAGCAGCAGUGAGCCUGAACAGCAGCUGCCAGGCAGCCCCGCGACCACAAGGGGAAGCAGUUGACAGGCUACAGUGUGCUGUGUUGCUAAGCUACAACGUUCGCUAGGCAAGAUGUAUUAAAUGCAUCUUCAACUCAGGAGAUUUUCAAUUUACAAGGGGUUUAUCCAGCAGAACCAUUAAACUCAGGAUGAUUUAAAGCAUAGAACUGCUAUUCAUAUUUUCUUACAAAGAUGUCGGGAAUCACAAAAAAAGAAACAAGCCUCUGUUCAUCUCCUACCCCAUGUUUCAGACAGUGAACAAAAGAAAUAGAUCGUGCAGGAUUUUAGGACAAGACAGAAUUUGAAAGAAGUCGAGAAGCAGCCAUGGUCGAGUAAAUACAGAUUCAUCCUGAAUAAGGGAUGGGAUUUUUCACUGGACAGCUCUGAAAGAGCACAGAUUGAGUCAAGGGUAGAAGGAAACAAAUACAAUGAAACAGCCCCAAUUUGGAAACAAGGCGAAUUUUAUUGCAUGUGAAAAGGAGUCACAUGGAGAUUG
Long non-coding RNA from Chinchilla lanigera (long-tailed chinchilla), 872 nucleotides. RefSeq lists it as uncharacterized. NCBI's taxonomy places the organism in Eukaryota, Metazoa, Chordata, Mammalia, Rodentia, Chinchillidae. The transcript has 5 exons. The record is from RefSeq and is a predicted model, not a curated record.